UCUGAGAAGGUGAUGAUCCCAAUACGCAUAGUUCAACUGAAAGCCUUCCAGGCGCUGUUGAUACGAAUCCAUCAAAGUCUUUCGCUCCUAUCUGAUUCUCAGC
RNAcentral lists this small nucleolar RNA (103 nucleotides) under Globisporangium irregulare DAOM BR486. Its description in RNAcentral is "snoRNA EPrPIrr00000013118". It matches the Rfam family "Small nucleolar RNA snR60/Z15/Z230/Z193/J17". From Rfam's summary of the family: The members of this family belong to the C/D class of snoRNAs which contain the C (UGAUGA) and D (CUGA) box motifs. Most of the members of the box C/D family function in directing site-specific 2'-O-methylation of substrate RNAs. The family includes the yeast snoRNA snR60 (also known as Z15) and the corresponding human guide snoRNA U80 (SNORD80). Lineage: Eukaryota; Oomycota; Peronosporomycetes; Pythiales; Pythiaceae. The record is from RNAcentral.